This is a long non-coding RNA of Orbicella faveolata, 548 nucleotides long. RefSeq lists it as uncharacterized. The record is from RefSeq and is a predicted model, not a curated record. Lineage: Eukaryota; Metazoa; Cnidaria; Anthozoa; Scleractinia; Merulinidae.
GAAGACCAAUUUAACUCUAUCGCCAGUGUUCAGUCUGGAAGUCUCUUGAAGGACAAAGAUCUUCUACCAAGUUGUCAAAAUGAAGUCGGUAGCUCUCUUAUACUCUAUUCUUUUGUUGAUGUUCCUCUUGGAAGAAACUGAAGGUUUUACAGGACCAAUCCCUGGCAAGAGGGUGGUGACAGCAAAGAAGUCUCUACGGAACUAUCAACGAAGUUUGUGCGCGACCGCACGAAAACUGGAUUGCGAGGGAGCCUGGGCACUGGCGAAGAGAGCCGAGCCUGUGGUCACGAGCGAAGAUUAAAGAGACUGAAGUCAGAAUGCAGUUCGAAGUAUAUCUGACGUCAAGGCCCGUUAUAAAUAAAUUAAAAAUAUAGAUGUGUGUCAUGUACCACUAUUCUAGGUGCUGAUUUAAUUGUUAGUAUUUAUUGCAAGCAGCGAAGUGUUAACAGUAUUAAAAUGCGUACAAAUUCUUGUAAAAUUACUUUGCACAUCUUGGAAGUUUGAGAUAAAAGUGCGGAGGAAAGUUAUAAUAAAAGUAAUCAAAGCUA